CCUACGGGUGGCAGCAGUGAGGAAUAUUGGUCAAUGGACGAGAGUCUGAACCAGCCAAGUAGCGUGAAGGAUGACUGCCCUAUGGGUUGUAAACUUCUUUUAUAUGGGAAUAAAAUGUUCCACGUGUGCCUUUUUGUAUGUACCAUAUGAAUAAGGAUCGGCUAACUCCGUGCCAGCAGCCGCGGUAAUACGGAGGAUCCGAGCGUUAUCCGGAUUUAUUGGGUUUAAAGGGAGCGUAGGUGGAUUGUUAAGUCAGUUGUGAAAGUUUGCGGCUCAACCGUAAAAUUGCAGUUGAAACUGGCAGUCUUGAGUACAGUAGAGGUGGGCGGAAUUCGUGGUGUAGCGGUGAAAUGCUUAGAUAUCACGAAGAACUCCGAUUGCGAAGGCAGCUCACUGGACUGCAACUGACACUGAGGCUCGAAAGUGUGGGUAUCAAACAGGAUUAGAUACCCGAGUAGUC
Molecule: ribosomal RNA, 460 nt
Filed under: uncultured bacterium
Lineage: Bacteria
Description: partial 16S ribosomal RNA
Rfam family: Bacterial small subunit ribosomal RNA
Source: RNAcentral